Molecule: ribosomal RNA, 796 nt
Filed under: uncultured archaeon
Lineage: Archaea
Description: bacterial SSU rRNA
Rfam family: Archaeal small subunit ribosomal RNA
Source: RNAcentral
ACUGCUCAGUAACACGUGGAUAACCUGCCCUUGGGACCGGCAUAACCCCGGGAAACUGGGGAUAAUUCCGGAUAACGCAUAUUUGCUGGAAUGCUUUAUGCGUCAAAAGGAUUCGUCUGCCCAAGGAUGGGUCUGCGGCCUAUCAGGUUGUAGUGGGUGUAAUGUACCUACUAGCCAGCGACGGGUACGGGUUGUGAGAGCAAGAGCCCGGAGAUGGAUUCUGAGACAUGAAUCCAGGCCCUACGGGGCGCAGCAGGCGCGAAAACUUUACAAUGCGGGAAACCGUGAUAAGGGGACACCGAGUGCCAGCAUCAUAUGCUGGCUGUCCGGAUGUGUAAAAUACAUCCGUUAGCAAGGGCCGGGCAAGACCGGUGCCAGCCGCCGCGGUAACACCGGCGGCCCGAGUGGUGAUCGUGAUUAUUGGGUCUAAAGGGUCCGUAGCCGGUUUGGUCAGUCCUCCGGGAAAUCUGAUAGCUCAACUAUUAGGCUUUCGGGGGAUACUGCCAGACUUGGAACCGGGAGAGGUAAGAGGUACUACAGGGGUAGGAGUGAAAUCUUGUAGUCCCUGUGGGACCACCUGUGGCGAAGGCGUCUUACCAGAACGGGUUCGACGGUGAGGGACGAAAGCUGGGGGCACGAACCGGAUUAGAUACCCGGGUAGUCCCAGCCGUAAACGAUGCUCGCUAGGUGCCAGGCAUGGCGCGACCGUGUCUGGUGCCGCAGGGAAGCCGUGAAGCGAGCCACCUGGGAAGCACGGCCGCAAGGCUGAAACUUAAAGGAAUUGGCGGGGGAGCAC